Molecule: long non-coding RNA, 219 nt
Organism: Rosa chinensis
Lineage: Eukaryota; Viridiplantae; Streptophyta; Magnoliopsida; Rosales; Rosaceae
Exons: 3
Source: RefSeq, a predicted model, not a curated record
GAAGCCGACCUUUUCUUCUCUCAUCUCCCUCUCACCUGCAAACCGAAAAAGGAAGAAGCUCAAAAGUUUUGGUUCUAAGCAACAUCACCCCGAAGAUCGGGAAGAACUUUGGUGAACUUCUACAUAAGAACUUUGCUCCAAGGUUGAAGGCUCUACUGGGCUGAGCUCGCUCAACAUGCAGCUAAGGAGAGAGCUCGAUUUAUACACAUUGCUGGUAGG